This 77-nucleotide transfer RNA is filed under the name Erwinia phage pEa_SNUABM_55. RNAcentral describes it as "tRNA-Pro". It matches the Rfam family "tRNA". From Rfam's summary of the family: Transfer RNA (tRNA) molecules are approximately 80 nucleotides in length. Their secondary structure includes four short double-helical elements and three loops (D, anti-codon, and T loops). Further hydrogen bonds mediate the characteristic L-shaped molecular structure. tRNAs have two regions of fundamental functional importance: the anti-codon, which is responsible for specific mRNA codon recognition, and the 3' end, to which the tRNAs corresponding amino acid is attached (by aminoacyl-tRNA synthetases). tRNAs cope with the degeneracy of the genetic code in two manners: having more than one tRNA (with a specific anti-codon) for a particular amino acid; and 'wobble' base-pairing, i.e. permitting non-standard base-pairing at the 3rd anti-codon position. Lineage: Duplodnaviria; Heunggongvirae; Uroviricota; Caudoviricetes. The record is from RNAcentral.
CUCUCUUUAGCUCAGUCUGGUAGAGCAUCUGCUUUGGGAGCAGAGGGUCGCAUGUUCAAGUCGUGCAAGGGAGACCA